RNAcentral lists this ribosomal RNA (405 nucleotides) under uncultured bacterium. Its description in RNAcentral is "bacterial SSU rRNA". It matches the Rfam family "Bacterial small subunit ribosomal RNA", at positions 355 to 774 of the family's 1533-position model. The record is from RNAcentral.
UGGGGGAUAUUGCACAAUGGAGGAAACUCUGAUGCAGCAACGCCGCGUGAGGGAAGAAGGUCUUCGGAUUGUAAACCUCAGUAGUCAGGGACGAAAGAAAUGACGGUACCUGAAGAGUAAGCUCCGGCUAACUACGUGCCAGCAGCCGCGGUAAUACGUAGGGAGCGAGCGUUGUCCGGAUUUACUGGGUGUAAAGGGUGCGUAGGCGGGAUAGCAAGUCAGACGUGAAAUACCGAGGCUUAACUUCGGGGCUGCGUUUGAAACUGUUAUUCUUGAGUGAAGUAGAGNCAGGCGGAAUGCCUAGUGUAGCGGUGAAAUGCGUAGAUAUUAGGAGGAACACCAGUGGCGAAGGCGGCCUGCUGGGCUUUAACUGACGCUGAGGCACGAAAGCAUGGGGAGCAAACA